AAGAAAUAGAAAAGAGAAAGUAGGCAUAAAUGGGCAUUUCUCACCAUGGAGAGUUGUUACAAGCAGAGUCCACCAAGGUUUUGUUCUGGUACCAGUAUCUUUAAACAUAGUGAUCUCUGAUGGAGUCAGGUAUGCCCAGUGGAAUAGCUAAGUUUGCUAAUGACACCAAAUUGGCCAGAGUGGUAAAAACAAACAUGAUUUUGAACAGCUCCAGUGGGAUCUCUGCACAUUGAGGGACUGGGCAUCAAAAUGGCAAAUGCACUUCAAUGAGACCAAGUGUAAAGUGAUGGGGGUUGGAGCUGAAAAUCCUAACUUUUUAAAUAUUCUAGGGGAAUCUAAGCUGCUGGUUCUGCAAGGGUUGCUGGGAGUCUGAGUCCAGGAGGGGAGAUUGGAGGCGACAGUCCUUUAAAGCUCAUGGGGAAGGGUCCCAGGCUAUAGCCUAGUGGUCUCCUUUUUCUAAAAGGUUUGCCACCCUCCUCUGAGGGCGAAGAGUUUUCUGUGAAGAUCAUUGCCGGGACUCUCAAGGGGAUGUUCCUGCCCCCCCCUCCAGUUAUAGUGCAAGGUAGACUCUGUCUGACUUUGGGGGCUCCAGAGUUUAGCCUCCCNUAGAAUGCUGUAGCGCCUGGUAGAGACCUAAAGGGUUAAAAGCGGAGAGUGCUCCUGUUUCCUAGAGAGGCAUCAUGGGUUAAUGGCAUAGUCGUAUUUCCUAGAGAGGCACUGAAGAUGCAGGGGGCUGCUUCCAGCUCAUCCCCUCCUUCCUCCUUUCCUAAUCUAAUUUCUUCCCUCCCUGCCUGGCCGGGAAGUUGGGAGCACAAAGGGCCCUUUGGGUGCGGGAGAAAGCGGGCAAGAGGGAAGAUUUUCAGGCAGCAAAAAGGACCUGGUUUUUCCUUCCAGGCACCCUCCGGUUUGUGAUGGAGCAGAAAUGGGCACUGAGUACCUCCAGCAUCAGGUAAGAGAAAUAUCAUUGCAAACCCAUUUAAGGACUGGGCUGGAGGAGUGACUUUGUCUCCUUCACAGCAAUUUAGUUUUUUUCUGGAUUCUGGCAAAACUGCCCCCAUGCAAGGGGGCAAAAAAAACUGUUGCCAAAAAGAAAAAAAAUCUCCAAUCCCUUUACUGGACAUUUCCUUUGAGAUUUCCC
Molecule: long non-coding RNA, 1138 nt
Filed under: Salvator merianae (Argentine black and white tegu)
Lineage: Eukaryota; Metazoa; Chordata; Lepidosauria; Squamata; Teiidae
Description: lncRNA (ENSSMRG00000008472.1)
Source: RNAcentral